Molecule: ribosomal RNA, 497 nt
Filed under: uncultured bacterium
Lineage: Bacteria
Description: partial 16S ribosomal RNA
Rfam family: Bacterial small subunit ribosomal RNA
Source: RNAcentral
GAUCAACGCUGGCGGCGUGCCUAAUACAUGCAAGUCGAGCGAACGGACGAGAAGCUUGCUUCUCUGAUGUUAGCGGCGGACGGGUGAGUAACACGUGGAUAACCUACCUAUAAGACUGGGAUAACUUCGGGAAACCGGAGCUAAUACCGGAUAAUAUUUUGAACCGCAUGGUUCAAAAGUGAAAGACGGUCUUGCUGUCACUUAUAGAUGGAUCCGCGCUGCAUUAGCUAGUUGGUAAGGUAACGGCUUACCAAGGCAACGAUGCAUAGCCGACCUGAGAGGGUGAUCGGCCACACUGGAACUGAGACACGGUCCAGACUCCUACGGGAGGCAGCAGUAGGGAAUCUUCCGCAAAGGGCGAAAGCCUGACGGAGCAACGCCGCGUGAGUGAUGAAGGUCUUCGGAUCGUAAAACUCUGUUAUUAGGGAAGAACAUAUGUGUAAGUAACUGUGCACAUCUUGACGGUACCUAAUCAGAAAGCCACGGCUAACUACGUG